RNAcentral lists this long non-coding RNA (1308 nucleotides) under Capsella grandiflora. RNAcentral describes it as "long non-coding RNA (CGRA_LNC001747)". Lineage: Eukaryota; Viridiplantae; Streptophyta; Magnoliopsida; Brassicales; Brassicaceae. The record is from RNAcentral.
AAAUCACAUUUGACGAGAGACCCACAAAAGCUUCUUCUAUGCUCCUCGGGACUAUUCAUGGCGGAAAGGCGCCAAAUUUUCAGCAACCUUCGUGAGAAAUUGGGUUAACCAUGGUGCUGGCUGAUACAAAUAUUGAUUAAUUGUUCAUUGGUAGAGAUUGGAGAAGAACGAUGGAGGAUUGCAUUCUCCCGCAGCUAGUGAACUCAGUUGAGAUUCCGAGGUCAAUUCUUCACGGUAACUCGCUUUGCUCUCAUAGUUCGUGAGUUCUGAUUUGGAGAUUUUUUGAGCUAUUGUGAAUUGUUUGCUAAGACUAGACAAGGGUCUUAGAGAAUAUUUUAUUGUAAAAGAUUAUGAUUUUUUAAUUGUUUUUGGACCUUUUUUUUGUUGUUGUUCUCAGCUAUUUCCUGCUAUAACGACUCCAAAGUAAUGAUACUGCGUAGGAUUGAUCCUAUAAAAUGUUCCAAUCUGUUUCAGACUGUAAAAUUUGUUGUUCACCAAACGAAAAAAAAAAAAAAAAAUAUAAAGAAGAAUUUUCACUCUCUUGCUGCCUAGCCUGAGCCGUUACAAGGACACAGGAAACUUUUACGUUUGUGUUUAUACAGUUCUAGGUUUUGGCAGUGCUGAUGCUCUAAUGGUACCUUUGAGGACUCCCUAUUUCCUUUGACUUAGAGAGUUGGAUGGGAGAUGAUUGUGUUGUUUUUGUUGUUGUCUUUUGGAAUAUUCUCUGUCCUGGGGCUAGAAUCGCUAGAGGGUCGUAAACAUGUUUCCUUUCUGCAAAUGUUUCCCAUCUUUUGCCAAAGUGUGAUUUCCACUCUUGUUGAGUUUCAUAAUGGGGCAAAUACUGCUUCACAUGGAGAUUUGCCGCUCUGCAGAAGUUCAUAACUCUUUGGUUUUGUUUCAAUAGGUACUCCAAAUCAUUUUUUCCUGAGGAAUUUGGCACUGCAGAGGGGAGAAAGGCCACGAGAUAGAAGACAUCUUCAUUUGGAGCUAUCAAAGAUGUAUGUUUGAUCCACCUGCAACCAAAAACAUGUUGGAGAUGGUUAGUAAUUUUAUGUUUAUGAAUCAAUGUAAGCAUAUAUGGUUUUGGCAUUUUGCUCAUUUACUUGGAUUGAUUGACUGGAUAUAUAAGGAUAGGUCCGUUGUUGUUGCUUCUGAUAAUGUUGUUGAAAACCUCUGUAGCAAAUCUAAAUAUGCUGCUUUUGGGAAUCAGGAGAUUCAGCCAGGGAUGUGGAACCUCCCAUAAACCCUUUGCUCUCAGUUUUCUCUCCGCAAUAUGCACUCGAUCCAGAAACUCAAUGUAUGGCACUU